This 270-nucleotide ribosomal RNA is filed under the name uncultured archaeon. RNAcentral describes it as "partial 16S ribosomal RNA". It matches the Rfam family "Archaeal small subunit ribosomal RNA", at positions 477 to 747 of the family's 1478-position model. The record is from RNAcentral.
CGGCACCUCAAGUGGUCAGGAUGAUUAUUGGGCCUAAAGCAUCCGUAGCCGGCGCUGUAAGUUUUCGGUUAAAUCUGUACGUUCAACGUACAGGCUGCCGGGAAUACUGCAGCGCUAGGGAGUGGGAGAAGUAGACGGUACUCGGUAGGAAGGGGUAAAAUCCUUUGAUCUAUUGAUGACCACCUGUGGCGAAGGCGGUCUACCAGAACACGUCCGACGGUGAGGGAUGAAAGCUGGGGGAGCAAACCGGAUUAGAUACCCGAGUAGUCC